Molecule: ribosomal RNA, 253 nt
Filed under: uncultured bacterium
Lineage: Bacteria
Description: partial 16S ribosomal RNA
Rfam family: Bacterial small subunit ribosomal RNA
Source: RNAcentral
UACGGAGGGUGCAAGCGUUAUCCGGAUUCACUGGGUUUAAAGGGUGCGUAGGUGGGUUGGUAAGUCAGUGGUGAAAUCUCCGAGCUUAACUUGGAAACUGCCAUUGAUACUAUUAGUCUUGAAUACUGUGGAGGUAAGCGGAAUAUGUCAUGUAGCGGUGAAAUGCUUAGAUAUGACAUAGAACACCGAUAGCGAAGGCAGCUUGCUACACAGUCAUUGACACUGAGGCACGAAAGCGUGGGGAGCAAACAGG